This 73-nucleotide transfer RNA is filed under the name Desulfobacterales bacterium. RNAcentral describes it as "tRNA-Ala". It matches the Rfam family "tRNA". From Rfam's summary of the family: Transfer RNA (tRNA) molecules are approximately 80 nucleotides in length. Their secondary structure includes four short double-helical elements and three loops (D, anti-codon, and T loops). The record is from RNAcentral. Lineage: Bacteria; Pseudomonadati; Thermodesulfobacteriota; Desulfobacteria; Desulfobacterales.
GGGGAUGUGGCUCAGCUGGGAGAGCGUGGCGUUCGCAAUGCCAAGGUCAGGGGUUCGAACCCCCUCAUCUCCA